GCGGGGCGUAGCUCAGUCUGGUAGAGCGCGGGCUUUGGGAGCCCGUUUCGUCGGCUCUGCCGUCGCCGUGCCA
Molecule: transfer RNA, 73 nt
Filed under: Elusimicrobia bacterium RIFOXYD12_FULL_66_9
Lineage: Bacteria; Pseudomonadati; Elusimicrobiota
Description: tRNA-Pro
Source: RNAcentral